CUAAUUCUAAACCCACCAACAGAGGCCCAAUUGGAAGCCCCUCUUCUCUUUCAAUACUAAAAACCUAGUUAGUCUUCUUCUUAACCCAUAGAACAUCGAGACAACAAUGGAGCACAAGAAUCCUAGAGAGAAGUCAGCCGCAGAGAACAAAAAAAUAACCCCCCAUCUGAACCCGCCGUCCUCCAGCCAUCGUCCCACCAAACAACCACCCAUAUUCCUCAACUCCAAACAACCAUAGUCGACCACCUUCCUCACUCCACUAUCACAGCGGAAACAGAAACCAGCGCCGCCUCCCAAACCAGCAGCUGUCACCGCUCUUCUUCUUCACAACGAGCAGCGUUGUUGCCGCUGCUACUUCACCUCACUCACGACCAACCCAGCCUCCAACUCGCCGGAAAAACCGUUCUCACCACCCAUCCCCACCCCCAGCCAGCUCUCCAUUCAACCAGACCACCCCAUACGACGAGCUUCAGUCCGGUUGUGGAGAGAAAGAAGAAGCUGAAAACAGAGGGGAACAGCCAGAUUUCAUAUUUCACCUUCCAAAAAUGGAAAUUGUUUGAGGUGGUUUAAGGUCCGUUCGAGGCCGUCGUUCGGGUUUCCGUUGCCGCGCAUGAUUUCUGAUACAUGUUUCUCUUCCAAUUAGCUCAAGGAUUUGAGGUUCAAUCUUUUACCACUUUGUUAUUCCCUUUCCGGUAAUGUCGUUUGUUUAGAUCUUCUAUUUUUGUGCCCAGUGUGAGAACUUUUAUAUCUACCAUGAUAAAUGUGUAUAAUUAUGUGUUCUUUGAUUGUUAGUUUGGUAUAAUAAAGUAGCAAGGUCGGUUGUUGGGAUUGAUUAAAGAAAUUUAUUAGAUGGAGUUGAUUUAAGAAAACUUGUGUGAUUGGAGUUGAGUCCAUUACAGAUUAGGUACGGAACAAAUGGGUUAUGGGAAUUGGCUUUUAAAAAAGUGAAGGAAAUUAGCCUUUGAAUGAUCUUGAUGCUUUUAUUCUACUUGUUUAUUAAUUAGAUCGCUAUUAAUAUGCCUAAGGCGAUCACACUCGGGUAGGCAAGCCUUGUGAUUUUCUUAUAUUUGAGGUGAGAGGUCGUUCCCGA
Molecule: long non-coding RNA, 1090 nt
Filed under: Nicotiana benthamiana
Lineage: Eukaryota; Viridiplantae; Streptophyta; Magnoliopsida; Solanales; Solanaceae
Description: long non-coding RNA (NBEN_LNC022850)
Source: RNAcentral